CCAUCUCUGCUUAGUGUCAGUGAGUUCAUGGGGAAUUUCUGCUUGAAGAAGAUUUUGCAGACUGUGAGAAUGUUUUCUCCUUUGCUCUCUCCCCAGUAUCGUGCUUAGACAGCUUAGCGUGCGCCCUUCAGAGGAAGUAGCCAAGUCUCCAAGAGGAGAGCAUUUUAGAAAGAAGCUUAUAUAGAGCUGUCUGCAUCUUGGAAAUGGGAAAACUGAGGCACUUUUUCUGGAAAGGAUGGCAAUUUUUAGAUGCCUCCAUUUGGUUUCAGGCAUACAACCUCAGAAAAGACGCUGGACCACAGAGGUGUCAGACAUGCUGCAUACCUGACAGACCAGAUGCCAGAGGUCUGGCAAAACUAAUGGUAUUAAUCCCCAGCCUAAGCAUUGCAUUAACCCUUCCCUUGAGUUUAGAAUCAAGCUGAUUUUCAAAAUCUGGCUCUGGUAAGAAAAUGAAAAUAAUCCUAUCCGAUUCUUGGUGUUGAAACAAUGUAAUCAAGCUUGCCAAUUUAUACUGCAGUGGAA
RNAcentral lists this long non-coding RNA (522 nucleotides) under Struthio camelus australis. Its description in RNAcentral is "lncRNA (ENSSCUG00000010328.1)". The record is from RNAcentral. Lineage: Eukaryota; Metazoa; Chordata; Aves; Struthioniformes; Struthionidae.